AAAAAUGAAGAACCAUCUUCAAGGCUAAAUACUAUUGAAUUUGAUAGAAAAAAGUAUCGCGAGAUAAAGGUGAAAAAGUUUUUAUAAAAAUCUUAAAAUCCGAAAUUUAACGCAAAAUGCAGUUAAUGCUUAAUGUAUUAACGUACCUUUUGUAUAAUGGACCAAGGAGUUUAUAAUAAUAGCAAGCAUUAUUGCGUAUUGAAAAAAAUUUAGUUAUUAUUAUAAGACCCGAAACUACGUGAUCUAACUAUGAUCAGAUUGCGAAGUUAACACUUCAAGGAUCGUCGUCGUAAAUGUUGCAAAAUUUUGAUUCGAAUUAUAGUUAGGGGUGAAAGGCUUAUCAAACGUAGUGAUAGCUGGUUUUCUGCGAAAUCUAUUUAAGUAGAAAAAGUGUUUAUUAUUGAGUGUGGUAGCGUAAUUUUGGUAAUCGCACUCUCGUAGUCGUUUAUUAAAAAACGUCAAAUAUAUUCAAUAAAUUAAUGCUGGACAGACUAUGAGCGAAAAGGUUCAUAGUCAAAAGGGAAACAGCCCAAAUCGUUGGUUAAAGUUCCAAAAUAUAGUUUAAGAGAAAAUUAUACACUGAAUAAUGUAGGAGGUAGGCUUGGAAGCAGCCAUCCUAUAAUGAAAGCGUAAAAGCUCACUACAUUUACUGUUACAAUGAAUUAUUAGCAAAUCAGUAUGUAAUUAUCAAUUUGCGGAGUUAAACUAUAUACUGAAACUACGAAACAUAAAUUGUUGGUAGCAGAACGUUUUGUAUUUUGUAGAAAUUAAAUUGAAAAAUUUAGUGGAAAAAUCAAUAUCGUAUAUCUUGGUAUGAGUAACAGAUUUAAUGUGCGAAACAUUAAUGCCUUAUAUCUACGGGUU
This 864-nucleotide ribosomal RNA is filed under the name Platyophrya macrostoma. RNAcentral describes it as "partial Bacterial large subunit ribosomal RNA". It matches the Rfam family "Bacterial large subunit ribosomal RNA", at positions 440 to 1353 of the family's 2925-position model. Lineage: Eukaryota; Ciliophora; Colpodea; Cyrtolophosidida; Platyophryidae. The record is from RNAcentral.